Brachypodium distachyon (stiff brome) is the source of this 1657-nucleotide RNA transcript. It is a transcript of the gene named vegetative cell wall protein gp1-like, with no coding region annotated. The record is from RefSeq and is a predicted model, not a curated record. The transcript has 2 exons. Lineage: Eukaryota; Viridiplantae; Streptophyta; Magnoliopsida; Poales; Poaceae.
CUUUUACACCAGUAAUAUUACGUCGGUACCCUUUCCUAGUACUCCAUCAGCUUUCCUAAUACUCCACCGUGAUACCCCGUAUAUUCAAAGUGGAGUAUUAAGGAGUAACUGUCAAUUCGAGCCACCAGAUUAAAAAAAUGGACGGCUUAUAUUAAUUAUGAGAUACUGUAGAAGAGCUUUUUUUUAAAAGAUACCAUUUCUCUGGAAUUGUGUCACGCUCUACAAAUUUAUGCGGUAGACAAACAUGAUUCUUAAACCCGGAAUUCGAAGUCAACCAAAUCAAAUCCUAUCAAAAAUUGGAUUUCAUUUGAUUUCAAAUGGAAGAAGGAGUGCCAAACGAGUUGUUAUAAAAUUCCUUUCAAAUUUCUUCUGUGGGAGGUGCCGAGUUUAGUUGGUAGUACCGAGGCCCGGUAGAGUCAAGUUAAAUUGUUUCGCUUCUGAUUAUCAAGUAGGCAAACGAAUGGUCUGUAUUGAAUCUUGGAGAACAUGCUAGGAUACUUUUAUUGCAAGGUAUCAUCCAACCUGCUAUACGUACGAUCAUGCAAUUAACAAGAAAUAUAAUGAAUUUUAGACAAUGUAAAAAUGAGCAUGCAGCCCAAGCUAGGGAAAGAAUGAAGAGUAUGCUUAGAAAAUUAGAUUCGAGUGGUGGUCCUCCAUUAGCAGCACUCUUUUUUAUAACAAAAAUUAGCUUUAUCGAUCCAAUAAACAGAAGUAAUAUUAUACGCACGAGGAACUCUAGUUCGAUCUCGUCCGAUACAAGACACGAACCAUCGAUCAAAUAAUCGUGUGGCUGGACAUUGCGUCGUACAGCCGUCGAACAUUACUUCGUUGUACACAGAGUACUUCCGGCAGAGCCAAUACUUCAGUCAAUAUUAACUUCAAUUCCCACCAUGGGUUUGAGCGCGCCCAGGCCCAACGUGCAAAAGAACAUACCAACGGGUAGGGCCAAAUAUGCUAGUGCAAAUACAUUAAACCCACAUAAUGGGUCAUCCUUGGAGAGGUGCGCAAGGCGAAGUAUCAGUGAAAAUUGGAUUUCAGUGAAAAACUGCAAACUCGCAAUGUGGGCCGUCGGAUCGAAAACGGACGGCCUAGAUCAAAGCUCCAUGCGACGGCGACGACAACUGCUGCGCUGCCCCGAUGCGAUGGCGACUAGGCGGCUGCUGUGUCGACGCGUCGGCGAUUCUGUUGCCCUGGCGCUUCCCUCUCGUGAUGGCGGUUCUGCAGCUGCCGCGCUGCGCCGGCUCGACGGCAUCUCGGAGGCCACGGCGCCACCGGCGACGGCGAGUCAGUGGCCGAGGUGGUACGCCAGCGUGAAGGAUUCUUGCCGGCCAAGGCGCUACCCCAACACGACGGCAUCAUGCCGCCCACGGCGCUGCCGCGGUGGUGAUUCGGCAGCCGGGCGCGUCCCCCCCGGGAUGGCUUCAGACUUUCAGAGGCGUCCCCGACUGAAGCUUGAUUUCAGAGGUGAAUUUUAGUUCUAAAGUUGUAUUCAAGCAUUGUACCAAUCCUAAUGUAGGCAAUCUCUGUUGUACUAUGUAUUGCUGUUGUACCGAUUCUGAAGCCAUGACACUUGCGUGCAUUCUGAAGCAUUGUAUCUGACAUUGAGUUUGUUUAUGAAUUUAGAACCAAAUUUCAAAUAGAAAGCAUUGUGUGUUCA